Molecule: ribosomal RNA, 253 nt
Filed under: uncultured bacterium
Lineage: Bacteria
Description: partial 16S ribosomal RNA
Rfam family: Bacterial small subunit ribosomal RNA
Source: RNAcentral
UACGUAAGGGGCAAGCGUUGUCCGGAAUCACUGGGCGUAAAGCGCACGUAGGCGGUUUAGCAAGUUGGGGGUAUAAGCUCUAGGCUUAACCUAGAAAUUGCCUCCAAAACUACUUCACUUGAGUAUUAGAGGGGAAGCUGGAAUUCACGGUGUAGCGGUGAAAUGCGUAGAUAUCGUGGAGAACACCUAUGGCGAAGGCAGCUUGCUGGGACGACACUGACGCUGAGACGCGAAAGCGUGGGGAGCAAACAGG